RNAcentral lists this ribosomal RNA (362 nucleotides) under Salmonella enterica. Its description in RNAcentral is "partial 23S ribosomal RNA". It matches the Rfam family "Bacterial large subunit ribosomal RNA", at positions 911 to 1269 of the family's 2925-position model. The record is from RNAcentral. Lineage: Bacteria; Pseudomonadati; Pseudomonadota; Gammaproteobacteria; Enterobacterales; Enterobacteriaceae.
UGUUUCGGCUAGGGGGCCAUCCCGGCUUACCAACCCGAUGCAAACUGCGAAUACCGGAGAAUGUUAUCACGGGAGACACACGGCGGGUGCUAACGUCCGUCGUGAAGAGGGAAACAACCCAGACCGCCAGCUAAGGUCCCAAAGUCAUGGUUAAGUGGGAAACGAUGUGGGAAGGCCCAGACAGCCAGGAUGUUGGCUUAGAAGCAGCCAUCAUUUAAAGAAAGCGUAAUAGCUCACUGGUCGAGUCGGCCUGCGCGGAAGAUGUAACGGGGCUAAACCAUGCACCGAAGCUGCGGCAGCGACGCUGAUGCGUUGUUGGGUAGGGGAGCGUUCUGUAAGCCUGUGAAGGUGGCCUGUGAGGG